Molecule: ribosomal RNA, 331 nt
Filed under: uncultured bacterium
Lineage: Bacteria
Description: bacterial SSU rRNA
Rfam family: Bacterial small subunit ribosomal RNA
Source: RNAcentral
GCAAUGCCCGAAAGGGUGACCCAGCAACGCCGCGUGGAGGAUGAAGGUCGUAAGAUUGUAAACUCCUGUUAGAGGGGAAGAAUAACUAAGUUUGGAGGUUAGUAUGACUGUACCCUCAGAGAAAGCCCCGGCUAACUACGUGCCAGCAGCCGCGGUAAUAAGUAGGGGGCAAGCGUUGUCCGGCUUUACUGGGUGUAACGGGCGCGCAGGCGGGAUAAAAAGUCAGUGGUGAAAUCCUACAGCUUAACUGUAGAACUGCCUUUGAUACGUUUAUUCUUGAUUUCAGCGGAGAGAGACGGAAUUCCAGGGGUACUGGUGAAAUACGUAGAUA